Molecule: ribosomal RNA, 197 nt
Filed under: uncultured bacterium
Lineage: Bacteria
Description: partial 16S ribosomal RNA
Rfam family: Bacterial small subunit ribosomal RNA
Source: RNAcentral
ACACUCGACACCUACGGGGGCAGCAGUGAGGGAUAUUGGUCAAUGGGGGAAACCCUGAACCAGCAACGCCGCGUGAGGGAUGACGGUCUUCGGAUUGUAAACCUCUGUCCUCUGUGAAGAUAAUGACGGUAGCAGAGGAGGAAGCUCCGGCUAACUACGUGCCCGCAGCCGCGGUAAUCUGAGCGGGCUGGCAAGGC